Molecule: microRNA precursor, 85 nt
Filed under: Chlorocebus sabaeus (green monkey)
Lineage: Eukaryota; Metazoa; Chordata; Mammalia; Primates; Cercopithecidae
Description: miRNA (ENSCSAG00000027252.1)
Source: RNAcentral
UGCUCUGGAUUAGGCUUUGGCUUAAGUGAAUGUUGUGGCUGGUUUGAUCUUCUAUCCAGACCACUCAGACUUUUUCCAUAUCAGC